Molecule: long non-coding RNA, 3246 nt
Filed under: Pelobates cultripes (western spadefoot toad)
Lineage: Eukaryota; Metazoa; Chordata; Amphibia; Anura; Pelobatidae
Source: RNAcentral
GCUAACUACUCCCAUCGGCAGGAUACACCGUGCGUGCGCACAAGCGGGCAGGUCUCUUAUACCGAACAUCCAUCCGAUCUCCUUGCCCCACGUGCCGGCCCAGCUAUCACAGCCUGACAUAUGGACACCGCGCGUGCGCAGUGUGGGGGUUGGGAGAUCUGAUGGACACUUUCACUGUUAAAUCUCCCUACCCCUCAGUGCACAUGCGCUGUGUCUGAUUAUCUGGAGAAUCCUGUCAUCUACCAGGUCAGUCUCUCCCUGCUCCCAACACUCUCAGCUAUGUGGGGUCUGCAGAGUAUAUGGGGGGGUCUGCGCAAUAUGUUGGGGGGUUUGUGCUGUAUAUUGGGGGCUCUGUGCUGUAUAUUGGGGGGUCUGCUCAGUAUAUGGGGGCUCUCUGCAGUAUUUUGGGGGUCUGUGCUAUGGGGUCUGGCAGUAUAUGGGGGGGCUGUCUGUGCAAUAUAUUGAGGGUCUUUGCUGUGUAUGGGGGUCUAUAUUGGGGGUAUAUUGGGGUCUGUCUGUAUACUGUGCAGUAUAUUGGGGGUCUGUGCUGUAUAUGGGGGGCUCUCUGCACAGUAUAUCUGUGCUGGGGGGCUGUCUGUGCAGUAUAUUGGGGGCUCUGUGCUGUAUAUGGGGGUCUCUAUAUGGGGGGCUGUGCAGUAUAUUGGGGGUCUGUGCUGUGUAUUGGGGGUCUGUGCUGUAUAUUGGGGGUCUGUGCUGUAUAUUGGGGGUCGGGCUGUCAGUAUAUUGUGCACUAUAUUGGGGCUCUGUGCUGUAUAUUGGGGGCUGUCUGUGCUGUAAAUGGGGGUCUGCUCUCGGUGGUAUAUCUGGCUAUAGGGGCUGCUGUAUAUGGUCUGUGCAGUAUAUUGGGGGUCUGUGCUGUAUAUGGGGCUCUGGCAUCUGUGCUGUAUAUGGGGGCUGUCUGUGCAGUAUAUUGGGGGUCUGUGCAGUAUAUUGGGGUGUCUGUGCAGUAUAUGGGGGGCUGUCUGCUCAGUAUAUUGGGAGUGUCUGCGCAGUAUAUUGGGGGGUCUGCUCAGUAUAUUGUGGGGGUCUGCUCAGAAUAUUAGGGGAUCUGAUCAGUAUAUUGGGUGGGUCUGCGCAGUAUAUUGGGUGGGUCUGUGCAGUAAUUUGGGGGGCUGUCUGCUCAGUAUAUUGGGCGGUGUCUGCGCAGUAUAUGGGGAGUGUCUGCGCAGUAUAUGGGGGGUGUCUGCGCAGUAUAUGGGGGGUGUCUGCGCAGUAUAUUGGGGGGUCUGUGAAGUAUAUUGGGGUGGCCUGUGUGUUAGAUGUGGAGGGCAGUGUAUUAGAUGGGGGGCUGUGCGUUAGAUGUGAGGGGGCUGUGCGUUAGAUGUGGGGGGACAGUGUAUUAUAUUUGGGGGAUGUGAGUUAGAUGGGGAGCUGUGCAGUAUGUGUGGCCUGUGUGUUAGAUGUGUACAACCCGAGUUUCACAAAAAAAUAUUUAUUUCAUAGAUAUCAUAUGCCAUGGCAUGCUUUUUGCUAUGAAACCGCAGCCAUCUAGUCACUCACCAGAGAUGGAUGAGAAACUGCACCCCAGCCAGAGGGAAGGCCCCACAUCUGCAACAAAAUCCGUCGGUCACCAAAUUCUGUAAUCUCUGUCUCUUUGUCCAUUCUGUAUGUAUAGUACUCCCAAUUCUUAUAUUUAAUGCGGUGUGUCUCCCACAAUCUUUGUGUCUGUCUGCUGUAUGUAUGUGGCACGCAUGCACUGUGUCUGUUAUGCCAUUUCCUCUAACCAGUUUUUUUUUUAGUUUUUUUGUGUGUGUCACAACUCUGACAAGCAUGUUCUCCUAUGGGACACGAAGUACAUGAAGAGGAAUGAAGAAGCCCAUGUUUGAGGCUCAUCUCCAGGGUGGAGUAUUGAAUUUAUAAGUACUGAAGUGGCAUCUGGCACGUGACAAGCUGCUCCUGUUUGCACAGCGACUUCAACAUUGUGUACUGUGAUCACAGCCUAGUUCAGAGGUAGGUAACCUUGGGCAGUCCAGAUGCUGUGAAUUACACCUCCCAUAAUGUUGGCAAAGCAUUAUGGAAGGUGUAGUGCAAAACAUCUGGAAUAUCGAAUGUAUGGUGUGUGUGAAUGGUCAGUAACAAGGGUUGAAGCCUUGACGUGGUGUUACUGUAGUGGCUGUAAUACUUAUGAGGUAACCAUAAAUACUGUGACUAUGGAGAAUUAAACGCAUGUAUCACCUAAACACUGCUUAUACUGUGACCAUAUCUCCUAAACACUGCUUACACUGUGACCGUACAAUCUAAACACUGCUUAUACUGUGACCGUAUCUCUGAAACACUGCUUACACUGUGACUGUAUCAUAUAAACUGCUUAUACUUAUCGGGAUCCAUCAAAGGUGAAAUCAAGGGUUAUAUACUCCAUGCCACUUUAAUCGGGGUAAUAAAGUGUUCCAGAUAUAGUGCCCCAGUUUGAUCAGGUUUAAAUCAUUAUAUGUUAGACUGUUUUUUCAAUUCCAGAUCAAGUUUCAGUUUGAUGAGGGAGGUAGUUUAAAGCAUUACACACUAAGUGCAUUUUCUGUAUUUUAGAUCUGGUGUCCCAGUAUGGAAUGGAGACCAUCGUUCUGUUUAACAAGAGGUUAGUUGUGCAUCAUCUAUGACUGGCGGCUCAGCAGGAAUUCAACAGGUUCAUGAAAUGGAACCCUCUGUUGCAUUAGACCCAAUUCUGAGAUUAUGACCGAACCCUAAAGCACUUAAUAUUUUUAUGAAAUUUUAUUUAUGUAUUUUGAAUGUUGUGCAAAGACCCCAGAUGGCCACUGUUCCACUUGUAUUCCAGUGGCCAUGAAGGGCAGGUAAAGGUAGUUUUUACUUGACUUAAAAUGUAUGCAUCUUCUUUCUCAACGUCCUCUUCAGCUCCUGGAGCGUUAAUUUGCCAGGAGCCAACGGAAGCGCUCUACUCAAGUGCAUGCAUUAGCUCUGUCUUUUGUCAAAAGUAGGAAAAAUACUUAAAAUAAAGUUGUUCCUGUUUGCUCUUAAUUUGUGGGCGUGUUGAGGACUCCCUGCAUAAGAGACCAUUGGAUACAGAAGGCUGUACUAAAGGACGAUCUCAUCACAGCAUCACCCAAGAGGCCUCUUAAGAGUAAAGAGCGGCUAACAAUAUCUGGUAAUAGGCCACGUGCAAUUAUUAUGUAUGUAAUUAAUGUACAACAUACUUUUUUGUUACAUUAGAAAUUAACAAAUACUGUUAGACUUUUUGUUUACUGCUGCCUUAAAAAAAAAUAUUAAAACUCC